ACUAUUACCUUAGAUAUCAACCUCAGGAAUUGAAGAAUUCGGCCUUUGAAUAAUAAGAUAUACCCAUAAUUAAGCGAUACAAGCGGCUACACCGUUAAGUUGGGUGUUUUUGUACAUAUUUUCGGGGUCGGAACAUUGUUUACAUUGUAAACAAUAUCACGCUCGGUUGCUUACGGAGAGAGCCGAAAAGGUCACAUGGCUUGUCACGUGACGCAGUUAUUUACAUCCGUCGCAAAGAAAAAAUGGAUUACGAGGUAAGUGUAAACAAACGCACAUGUCUUCGGUAUAACACAUACUUUGCGCCUUUCUGCUAAUUUAUGUUCGCAAAUAAUGAUUCUAUAGUGUUAUAAUAUAUAAGUUUCAAAAAUUGAGCUGGGUAAUUUGUGUUAUUUGGGCUUUGUCGUGCGAUAAAUAUAUAUAUCUAUCACUGCCGUUCAACUAGUGGGGCCCAAAAAAGGGUAAUUACAAUCGGAACAGAAACUAGAUGUAUUCAGUAAUUCAAUAAGAUUUUAGCUUGUUUAUGACUGUUUUCUUUUCAGAAAUGCACAGGUAUUGAUACUUUCUUUGUAUACAAUCAUAUUUGAUGUUUACAAUAAAUUCUGCGUUAAUCAUUUUGGUAUGAAUACAUGCAAGUAAUAAAGAGUACUACACAUGUACGUGUGACAUACGACACACCAGUGUUAGGCUACAUGUAUGUCAUUGUGAAAAGUUUAAUUGUGCAGAAUAAAUGCCAGAAGUAAUGAGUAGGUCCGCUAUGUUUCUACUUUUAUGUUCCUUCUUCCUUUGAUAGUUAUAGAAAAUUUCAAUCGCUUGGGACAUCAACACUAUAUAUAUAUAUAUAUGCUGGCUAAUUAUAUAUUCUGUUGUGUCAUAGACUCCAUCACCAGCUUCGCAAGGAACAAGUUCAAGUUUAGACAGUCCUGUCAGAGCUAGGGGAAGAGGGCGAGGCCGUUCACGUGCUAGGGGAUGAGGCAUAGGUCGUAGCACUGAUAGAUCUAGAACUGGCACAGCACGAGGGAGAAGAGUUGGUGGAAGAGGAGCCCGUGGAAGACAUCAGGGCCAGGAAAGUGACAGGGCAGAAAAUGCAGCAACCAGCUUGCAAGCCAGAAGAUAAAUAUUGAAAACAAGAAUUGAUGAAAUGUCACAUGAAGAGACUAAGUAUAUUUUGCAUCAGACAGCACAGCAGUUUCCUUCUUUGAUUUUUGACUUGGUCAAAGACAGUAGUGGAAACAUUGGAGGUUACCAUCCCAGACCAGAUGGAAACAUGUACAGUCCAGAUUGGUGUUUGUGGUAACUGCAGAGAAAUGCCUACACAACCAGAGAAGCUCUGCUGCAAGAAAGAUCUACCAAAUUGUAUAACUUUGCUUCCGGAUUUCAAAGUUCUUAUUUUGGACGAAGCUGUCUUGGCCCUAGCACGCCUUUACAGGCAAGACAUGUUUGCUUUGCCAAAUGAGGAGGACUGGAAGAAAGCCAACAGGCAAUAUUGCCUACAGACAAUAUAUAUUGUGGCAAGUUGGUCGUCUUGGUACUGGUGACAGACGGGUCAUCCCAAGCUGUGCGGUUUGGAAAAUUAGAGACGGGUUCCCUGAUGAAUUUGGACAG
Pecten maximus is the source of this 1602-nucleotide long non-coding RNA. RefSeq lists it as uncharacterized. The record is from RefSeq and is a predicted model, not a curated record. Lineage: Eukaryota; Metazoa; Mollusca; Bivalvia; Pectinida; Pectinidae. The transcript has 3 exons.